GGAUGUGAGGACUAUCUGGCUGCGACAUCUGUCACCCCGUUGAUUGCCAGGCUUGAUUCGGCGGAUCUGGCUGGCUGGGCGGGUGUCCCCUUCCUCCCUCACUGCUCCCUGUGUAUCCCUCCCGAAGCUGCAUGCUCGGUGGAAGAGGACAACGUCCCAGGUAUAUAAGGAGUGUACCAAGGUCUCCAGUCUUCGGUUCCGGGUAUAUGAUAGCUGCGCCAUCUUAAGAGGUCAUCCAAAUUUUGUCAAACAUCCUAACUUGAUAAGGAAGAACCAGGCUAAACAUGAGUUUUUUCCCCUUGGUUGAUAUAAUGAUACAAG
Molecule: non-coding RNA, 321 nt
Organism: Anolis carolinensis (green anole)
Lineage: Eukaryota; Metazoa; Chordata; Lepidosauria; Squamata; Anolidae
Rfam family: 7SK RNA
About the family: 7SK was discovered as an abundant small nuclear RNA in the mid-70s but a possible function has only recently been suggested. Two independent studies have found that 7SK RNA binds the CDK9/cyclin T complex (known as elongation factor P-TEFb). P-TEFb activates transcription by phosphorylating the C-terminal domain of RNA polymerase II.
Source: Rfam